RNAcentral lists this ribosomal RNA (474 nucleotides) under uncultured bacterium. Its description in RNAcentral is "partial 16S ribosomal RNA". It matches the Rfam family "Bacterial small subunit ribosomal RNA", at positions 355 to 822 of the family's 1533-position model. The record is from RNAcentral.
UAGGGAAUCUUCCACAAUGGACGCAAGUCUGAUGGAGCAACGCCGCGUGAGUGAAGAAGGUUUUCGGACCGUAAAGCUCUGUUGUUGGUGAAGAAGGAUAGAGGUAGUAACUGGCCUUUAUUUGACGGUAAUCAACCAGAAAGUCACGGCUAACUACGUGCCAGCAGCCGCGGUAAUACGUAGGUGGCAAGCGUUGUCCGGAUUUAUUGGGCGUAAAGCGAGCGCAGGCGGAAGAAUAAGUCUGAUGUGAAAGCCCUCGGCUUAACCGAGGAAUUGCAUCGGAAACUGUUUUCUUGAGUGCAGAAGAGGAGAGUAGAACUCCAUGUGUAGCGGUGGAAUGCGUAGAUAUAUGGAAGAAUACCAGUGGCGAAGGCGGCUCUCUGGUCUGCAACUGACGCUGAGGCUCGAAAGCAUGGUAGCGAACAGGAUUAGAUACCCUUGGUAGUCCAUGCCGUAAACGAUGAGUGCUAAGUG